RNAcentral lists this long non-coding RNA (360 nucleotides) under Mytilus galloprovincialis (Mediterranean mussel). Lineage: Eukaryota; Metazoa; Mollusca; Bivalvia; Mytilida; Mytilidae. The record is from RNAcentral.
AAAUUAUUGACUGCAGUUUUGAUGAUAUGCUGUUAAUUGUAAAUUCCAAUUGUGUAGAUUUGAAACUGUGUAUUAUAAUGUUUUGGAUGAUGUUAUUCCAAAUCCAGCAACGUAUCAAGAAUGGAUUUUGAAUAAUAAAAAAAAGUUCGCAUUUGUGUAUCGAAUUCUUUGAUUUGACAUCUUUUAACAUGUAUUCGAUUAAUAGUUAAAGAUAUAUUACGUAAAAAGGCAUGACAUGCUUAUUGACUUUUCGAACAUUUAGCUUGUAGUACCGGUUGUUAAGACAUCUAUGAGUAACAGUUUUAAAAUAUUAAUGUGCAAUUAGUUUACAUGUUCUAAUCAAUUUUAAUAAAAUAUUUG